This 1555-nucleotide ribosomal RNA is filed under the name Escherichia coli. Its description in RNAcentral is "bacterial SSU rRNA". It matches the Rfam family "Bacterial small subunit ribosomal RNA". Lineage: Bacteria; Pseudomonadati; Pseudomonadota; Gammaproteobacteria; Enterobacterales; Enterobacteriaceae. The record is from RNAcentral.
UUAAAUUGAAGAGUUUGAUCAUGGCUCAGAUUGAACGCUGGCGGCAGGCCUAACACAUGCAAGUCGAACGGUAACAGGAAGCAGCUUGCUGCUUUGCUGACGAGUGGCGGACGGGUGAGUAAUGUCUGGGAAACUGCCUGAUGGAGGGGGAUAACUACUGGAAACGGUAGCUAAUACCGCAUAACGUCGCAAGACCAAAGAGGGGGACCUUCGGGCCUCUUGCCAUCGGAUGUGCCCAGAUGGGAUUAGCUAGUAGGUGGGGUAACGGCUCACCUAGGCGACGAUCCCUAGCUGGUCUGAGAGGAUGACCAGCCACACUGGAACUGAGACACGGUCCAGACUCCUACGGGAGGCAGCAGUGGGGAAUAUUGCACAAUGGGCGCAAGCCUGAUGCAGCCAUGCCGCGUGUAUGAAGAAGGCCUUCGGGUUGUAAAGUACUUUCAGCGGGGAGGAAGGGAGUAAAGUUAAUACCUUUGCUCAUUGACGUUACCCGCAGAAGAAGCACCGGCUAACUCCGUGCCAGCAGCCGCGGUAAUACGGAGGGUGCAAGCGUUAAUCGGAAUUACUGGGCGUAAAGCGCACGCAGGCGGUUUGUUAAGUCAGAUGUGAAAUCCCCGGGCUCAACCUGGGAACUGCAUCUGAUACUGGCAAGCUUGAGUCUCGUAGAGGGGGUAGAAUUCCAGGUGUAGCGGUGAAAUGCGUAGAGAUCUGGAGGAAUACCGGUGGCGAAGGCGGCCCCCUGGACGAAGACUGACGCUCAGGUGCGAAAGCGUGGGGAGCAAACAGGAUUAGAUACCCUGGUAGUCCACGCCGUAAACGAUGUCGACUUGGAGGUUGUGCCCUUGAGGCGUGGCUUCCGGAGCUAACGCGUUAAGUCGACCGCCUGGGGAGUACGGCCGCAAGGUUAAAACUCAAAUGAAUUGACGGGGGCCCGCACAAGCGGUGGAGCAUGUGGUUUAAUUCGAUGCAACGCGAAGAACCUUACCUGGUCUUGACAUCCACGGAAGUUUUCAGAGAUGAGAAUGUGCCUUCGGGAACCGUGAGACAGGUGCUGCAUGGCUGUCGUCAGCUCGUGUUGUGAAAUGUUGGGUUAAGUCCCGCAACGAGCGCAACCCUUAUCCUUUGUUGCCAGCGGUCCGGCCGGGAACUCAAAGGAGACUGCCAGUGAUAAACUGGAGGAAGGUGGGGAUGACGUCAAGUCAUCAUGGCCCUUACGACCAGGGCUACACACGUGCUACAAUGGCGCAUACAAAGAGAAGCGACCUCGCGAGAGCAAGCGGACCUCAUAAAGUGCGUCGUAGUCCGGAUUGGAGUCUGCAACUCGACUCCAUGAAGUCGGAAUCGCUAGUAAUCGUGGAUCAGAAUGCCACGGUGAAUACGUUCCCGGGCCUUGUACACACCGCCCGUCACACCAUGGGAGUGGGUUGCAAAAGAAGUAGGUAGCUUAACCUUCGGGAGGGCGCUUACCACUUUGUGAUUCAUGACUGGGGUGAAGUCGUAACAAGGUAACCGUAGGGGAACCUGCGGUUGGAUCACCUCCUUACCUUAAAGAAGC